GACGAACGCUGGCGGCGUGCUUAACACAUGCAAGUCGAACGGAAAGGCCCUGCUUUUGUGGGGUGCUCGAGUGGCGAACGGGUGAGUAACACGUGAGUAACCUGCCCUUGACUUUGGGAUAACUUCAGGAAACUGGGGCUAAUACCGGAUAGGAGCUCCUGCUGCAUGGUGGGGGUUGGAAAGUUUCGGCGGUUGGGGAGGGACUCGCGGCUUAUCGGCUUGUUGGUGGGGUAGUGGCUUACCAAGGCUUUGACGGGUAGCCGGCCUGAGUGGGUGACCGGCCACAUGGGGACUGAGAUACGGCCCAGACUCCUACGGGAGGCAGCGGUGGGGAAUAUUGCACAAGGGGCGGAAGCCGGAUGCAGCAACGCCGCGUGCGGGAUGACGGCCUUCGGGUUGUAAACCGCUUUCGCCUGUGACGAAGCGUGAGUGACGGUAAUGGGUAAAGAAGCACCGGCUAACUACGUG
Molecule: ribosomal RNA, 468 nt
Filed under: uncultured bacterium
Lineage: Bacteria
Description: partial 16S ribosomal RNA
Rfam family: Bacterial small subunit ribosomal RNA
Source: RNAcentral